RNAcentral lists this long non-coding RNA (321 nucleotides) under Vigna radiata. RNAcentral's name for it is "long non-coding RNA (VRAD_LNC013429)". Lineage: Eukaryota; Viridiplantae; Streptophyta; Magnoliopsida; Fabales; Fabaceae. The record is from RNAcentral.
AUCAUCUGUAACAUCUAUUAUUGUAUAACAUGAGUUAUACGAUCAUCGCACAAACAUAAAUAAGCAAAGGUUAGCUAAUAAAAGAAAGACACAAGAUGAACAUACAAAAAAUCCUAACUCACCCACAUCACUCAAACACACCAUACCAAUCCAUGAAAAGUAAAACCACAACCAUCAAAUUCACCAAUUUGUAUCACCUCUAAGUAAUACCCAAACAAUAUAUCUUUUCUGUAACAUGCUACCACUUUGCCUACAAUUACACAAUAGUGCAUAGUUAUUAGGAUAUAAUAAGUUGUACAUUAAAAUAUUAUAAUUGAGUUU